UAAACUAGGAAUUAGAUACCCUAUUAUUAAAAAUAAAUAUGAGCAUACUAAAGUAGUAUUAGUUAUAUUCUUAAAAUUUAAAAAAUUUGGCGGUAUUUUAGUCUAUUCAGAGGAAUCUGUCCUGUAAUUGAUAAUCCACAUUGAACCUUACUUAAAUUUGUUUAAUUUGUAUAUCGCCGUCAUCAGAAUAUAUUAUAAGAUAAAAUUUUCUUAAUAUUUAAUAAAAUAAUAUGUCAGGUCAAGGUGCAGUUUAUGUUUAAGUAGAGAUGGAUUACAAUAAAUUUAUUUAAUAUGGAUAAUUUUUUGAAAUAAAGAUUUGAAAGUGGAUUUGAAAGUAAUAUAAAAUAGAUUAUUUAUAUGAUUUUAGCUCUAAAAUAUGUACAUAUCGCCCAUCGUUCUUAUUUUUAAAAUAAGAUAAGCGUUAAACAUAGUAA
RNAcentral lists this ribosomal RNA (434 nucleotides) under Culex pipiens pipiens. RNAcentral's name for it is "partial 12S ribosomal RNA". Lineage: Eukaryota; Metazoa; Arthropoda; Insecta; Diptera; Culicidae. The record is from RNAcentral.